This 97-nucleotide transfer RNA is filed under the name Stappia taiwanensis. RNAcentral's name for it is "tRNA-Ile". The record is from RNAcentral. Lineage: Bacteria; Pseudomonadati; Pseudomonadota; Alphaproteobacteria; Hyphomicrobiales; Stappiaceae.
GCGGGGCCUUGCCGAUGAGGCUGACGCCAUCGAGGCUGAUUUCCCCGGCGGUGGCUUCGUAGAUGCCGUUGAUGCAGUUCAGCAUCGUGGUCUUGCC